UACGUAGGGGGCUAGCGUUGUCCGGAAUCAUUGGGCGUAAAGCGCGUGUAGGCGGUUCGGUAAGUCCGCUGUGAAAGUCGGGGGCUCAACCCUCGAAUGCCGGUGGAUACUGUCGGACUAGAGUACGGAAGAGGCGAGUGGAAUUCCUGGUGUAGCGGUGAAAUGCGCAGAUAUCAGGAGUAACACCAAUUGCGAAGGCAGCUCGCUGGGACGUUACUGACGCUGAGACGCGAAAGCGUGGGGAGCAAACAGG
This 253-nucleotide ribosomal RNA is filed under the name uncultured bacterium. Its description in RNAcentral is "partial 16S ribosomal RNA". It matches the Rfam family "Bacterial small subunit ribosomal RNA", at positions 524 to 776 of the family's 1533-position model. The record is from RNAcentral.